Molecule: long non-coding RNA, 2336 nt
Organism: Perca fluviatilis (European perch)
Lineage: Eukaryota; Metazoa; Chordata; Actinopteri; Perciformes; Percidae
Exons: 2
Source: RefSeq, a predicted model, not a curated record
UGUUAUUGGUGUCUUAAAAAGUGCGAACGAGGCCAUGACCAUCAUUUUCUUUGCUGGGUUGACAGACAAAUGUUGAUGAGUUUCACUGCAGUAUUUCCUAAAACAAGACACUUUUGUAACGUUAACUUAUUUUUGGAUGAGUCAGAUUUUUUAUUUCCUUUUUUUUAUGCUACAAAAAAAUUUGUAUUUUGCCAAAAGUGCCUUUGUUAUUUAGACAAAUAACUCCACGACUUUUUGGUCAAUGCAAAGUACGGAUACUGAGGUGCCUCUCACUCUUCGGGAUUUGUUUUGUGAAUGAAAACCAUAACAGCCUGUGCCUUAAGGACUGAAUGAGCUCACCAUCUGAGGCACUGAUGAACUCAAAUAGCAUACACACACACACACACACACACACACACACACACACACACACACACACACACACACACACACACACACACACACACACACACACACACACACACACACACACACACACACUCUGUUAGAAAACACCCAGCAGUAAUUCCCCGAAGGUAUUGUGCUUAUUUUGGCUGGAGUCUUCAUUUUGACUGUAAACCGAAGGCUGUUUUGUCUCAGUCAGCCUCUCGUUGCCGGCAGCUCAACAAUAACUGUUGGAUAUGUACAGUAGAUAAGCUGCCCUAACGUGAGCGGCAGAUCUACAAGCAGUCUCCGCCUUGUCCACAUGUCGGCCUUGGAUUUCAUUACCCAGCGAAGGAUUCCUUUCUUAUCGGGGCUAUUAGUUGCUGAAACGUGCCCAAACGCUCAGCUGGACCCGAAUGAAGUCACGUUCACCCACGCAGUGACACAGAAGUAUGUGGAUCUACAGGCAUGCUUUAAGGAGAAGUAUGCCAUAUCUGUUCCAACAGAAAACAAGAUGGUCUGGAGUGAAUGAAAAAAAGAAAAAGCCACCACCAGCUCCCCCACUCUUUUGAUCCUCAGCCCUCCCCAGCUGUUUAGCAUUACAUUCAAAUUGCUGUUUACAAGAAGCCAGAGGAUGGACUUAAAAGUUCUCCAUCCUCGCUUUUUUUUUCUUUUUUUUUACUUCAAAAAUAAUUUCAGUAUUAUGUAUUUGUCGGCCAAGCAAGUGUUCAAAGUAUUUGUUAUUGUCUGUCUCUAUAUGUGUGGCCGUUUUGUUUUUGAUCAGAACUUUGUACUUGGUUUCACUAAACCGUACCGCAUUAAGAGCUUCUUUUGUCAUCCAAUGGAAAGAAUCUCUUUUCUAGAAAGGACUUAUGUACGGUGCAUAUGUUAUAAACGUUUGCGGCAAACAAUGCCAAGUUCACAAACUGGGGAAAAUUGAGUUGGACCUACGGGAGAAACUCAAGUUGUCUCUCUAUGCUGACUUUUUAAUUUGAUGUAUGUCUUUUAUGUGUGCCAAAAUGUACACUCCUUCAUGCAUUGUGCAGUUUUUUUAUUUCUUGGACAAACACAUACUGCGUUUAUGGUCAAGGACUUUGAGAGGGAGUGAAGUUGCACAAAGUGACUUUUUGACCUUUUUUUAUGUUUUGAAUGUGCAAACUGUAAAAAGAAAGAAAGUUGCACUUAGAGUUAUUGGUUUUCAGUCAGAAAACACACAGCCUCCAUUGACGGUGUAUUUACAUAAAGGUGAAGAGAAGUAAAAGAAAUGAAGUACAAGCCUAUGUUAUUCCUGUUAGUGUUCCUAUGGAGGUAUAAUGAAAUCUAUCGCACUAGCCAAUCCCCAGGCACUAUUUGCUUAUGCAGUGGGGGUUGUGGGCUCCCACAUGUGUUUUUUAUACACCUGAUCCAGGCAGGGUAGCUGCGGGGCAGUGUCGGGCCCGCUCCUUGUGUUUCUAAUCGCACCUCUGAACCUUUGGACCACAACCCUCACACCUCACAUGAUACCCGCUCGCUGGGAAGAGAAAGAGCGAGGGUAGGAGGCUUCAGAGACAACAGAGCAGCCUUUGUUGUCCCUUUUAGCUGCAGUCACUCCACAACGACGACUCCAGUUCUAACAAAAGGGGUUUCCACGGCCAAGACUUUGGUACUGUACAUGCCUUUUUUUUUUCCAGCACAAGCCCUACUUCCACAACCAUGCUGACAAAUGGAAAGCAAUGGUAUGUAUUAAAGCCUAUAAAUUAUUAUUGCAGACUUUGUAAAAAAACAAAGUGGUGACCAUAGUUUGUUUUUUAUUGUUAAGUUAUAUAAAUUGAGAUUUUUGUUUUGUUUGUUUUGAUAGAGACUGGAUUUUCAAUCCAAUGACCAAAUGCAUAUCUCCAUGUAUUGUCCGAGUUGCUCUCAUGUACAAUUUCUUUUAUAACAACAGUUGGUCAAAGCAAAUAAUGAAUGAAUAAACCUCUGAAUGAAAUGAAAAA